UUAUUUUGUAAAAAUAUUUUUAUAUACAUCGGAUUUGAGCUCUCGGUCUAACUAUAUUCAGAACCCUGUUAAUGGAGGUUAUAUAUUGGUUCUCUAGACUCUACCAAUAGGGGGGUUAUGCAUGGGUAUUCUGGAUCCUACCAAUAGGAGUUGUGUAUUGGUAUUUUGAUUACUAUUGUAUUCAUUAUUUCUAUUCGAGCCCCACCAUAGAGUAUAAGUAUGAUCAUAGCUAAAGGA
RNAcentral lists this long non-coding RNA (237 nucleotides) under Elaeis guineensis (African oil palm). RNAcentral's name for it is "long non-coding RNA (EGUI_LNC057617)". Lineage: Eukaryota; Viridiplantae; Streptophyta; Magnoliopsida; Arecales; Arecaceae. The record is from RNAcentral.